AUUCAUGCGGUUUCUGACGAACAGGACAUGCGAAAAAUGGGAGGUUUAAAAAAACUUCUACCAUU
Molecule: transfer RNA, 65 nt
Filed under: Heterosigma akashiwo
Lineage: Eukaryota; Raphidophyceae; Chattonellales; Chattonellaceae
Source: RNAcentral